GAUGAACGCUGGCGGCGUGCUUAAUACAUGCAAGUCGAGCGAACAGACGCUGCGCUUGCUCCUUUCUCGUUAGCCGCGGACGGGUGAGAAACACGUGUAUCAUCCACUUAUAUGUCUGGGAUCAUCUCGGGAAUCCGGCGCUAACCCCGGAUAAUCUCCUGCACCGUAUGGUUCAAUAGUGAAAUACGGCUUUGCUGUCUCUUAUCGCUGGAUCCGCGCCGCAUUAGCUAGUUGGUACGGUAACGGCGUAUCAAGGCUACGAUGCGUAGCCGACCUGAGAGGGUGAGCGGCCACACUGGAACGGAGACACGGUCCAGACGCCUACGGGAGGCAGCAGUAGGGAAUCUGCCGCAAGGGGCGAAAGCCUGACGGAGCAACGCCGCGUGAGUGAUGAAGGUCUUCGGGUCGUAAAUCACUGUUAUUAGGGAGGAACAAAUGUGUAAGUAACUAGGCACGUCUUGACGGUACCUAAGCAGAAAGCCACGGCUAACUACGUG
This 497-nucleotide ribosomal RNA is filed under the name uncultured bacterium. RNAcentral's name for it is "partial 16S ribosomal RNA". It matches the Rfam family "Bacterial small subunit ribosomal RNA", at positions 28 to 507 of the family's 1533-position model. The record is from RNAcentral.